GAUGAAGAACGUAGCGAAAUGCGAUAAGUAAUGUGAAUUGCAGAAUUCAGUGAAUCAUCGAGUCUUUGAACGCACAUUGCGCCCCCUGGUAUUCCGGGGGCAUGCCUGUCCGAGCGUCAUUGCCGCCCUCAAGCACGGCUUGUGUGUUGGGCCCCCGCCCCCCGGCUUCGGGGGGCGGGCCCGAAAGGCAGCGGCGGCACCGCGUCCGGUCCUCGAGCGUAUGGGGCUUCGUCACCCGCUCUGUAGGCCCGGCCGGCGCCCGCCGGCGACCCCAAUCAAUCUUUCCAGGUUGACCUCGGAUCAGGUAGGGAUACCCGCUGAACUUAAGCAUAUCAAUAAGCGGAGGA
Molecule: unclassified non-coding RNA, 347 nt
Filed under: soil metagenome
Description: partial contains 5.8S ribosomal RNA, internal transcribed spacer 2, and large subunit ribosomal RNA
Rfam family: 5.8S ribosomal RNA (bases 1-119)
Source: RNAcentral